This 670-nucleotide ribosomal RNA is filed under the name Escherichia coli. Its description in RNAcentral is "partial 23S ribosomal RNA". It matches the Rfam family "Bacterial large subunit ribosomal RNA", at positions 2180 to 2844 of the family's 2925-position model. Lineage: Bacteria; Pseudomonadati; Pseudomonadota; Gammaproteobacteria; Enterobacterales; Enterobacteriaceae. The record is from RNAcentral.
AUGGAGCCGACCUUGAAAUACCACCCUUUAAUGUUUGAUGUUCUAACGUUGACCCGUAAUCCGGGUUGCGGACAGUGUCUGGUGGGUAGUUUGACUGGGGCGGUCUCCUCCUAAAGAGUAACGGAGGAGCACGAAGGUUGGCUAAUCCUGGUCGGACAUCAGGAGGUUAGUGCAAUGGCAUAAGCCAGCUUGACUGCGAGCGUGACGGCGCGAGCAGGUGCGAAAGCAGGUCAUAGUGAUCCGGUGGUUCUGAAUGGAAGGGCCAUCGCUCAACGGAUAAAAGGUACUCCGGGGAUAACAGGCUGAUACCGCCCAAGAGUUCAUAUCGACGGCGGUGUUUGGCACCUCGAUGUCGGCUCAUCACAUCCUGGGGCUGAAGUAGGUCCCAAGGGUAUGGCUGUUCGCCAUUUAAAGUGGUACGCGAGCUGGGUUUAGAACGUCGUGAGACAGUUCGGUCCCUAUCUGCCGUGGGCGCUGGAGAACUGAGGGGGGCUGCUCCUAGUACGAGAGGACCGGAGUGGACGCAUCACUGGUGUUCGGGUUGUCAUGCCAAUGGCACUGCCCGGUAGCUAAAUGCGGAAGAGAUAAGUGCUGAAAGCAUCUAAGCACGAAACUUGCCCCGAGAUGAGUUCUCCCUGACUCCUUGAGAGUCCUGAAGGAACGUUGAAGA